Molecule: ribosomal RNA, 500 nt
Filed under: uncultured Olivibacter sp.
Lineage: Bacteria; Pseudomonadati; Bacteroidota; Sphingobacteriia; Sphingobacteriales; Sphingobacteriaceae
Description: bacterial SSU rRNA
Rfam family: Bacterial small subunit ribosomal RNA
Source: RNAcentral
GAGUUUGAUCCUGGCUCAGGAUGAACGCUAGCGGCAGGCCUAAUACAUGCAAGUCGAACGGGAUCGGGGGCUUCGGUCCCCGUGAGAGUGGCGCACGGGUGCGUAACGCGUGAGCAACCUGCCCGUCCCAGGGGGAUAGCCCGGAGAAAUCCGGAUUAAUACCGCAUGAGAAUGCAGGUCCGCAUGGGCCUUCAUUUAAAUAUUCAUAGGGGACGGAUGGGCUCGCGUGACAUUAGCUGGUUGGCGGGGUAACGGCCCACCAAGGCGACGAUGUCUAGGGGCUCUGAGAGGAGAAACCCCCACACUGGUACUGAGACACGGACCAGACUCCUACGGGAGGCAGCAGUAAGGAAUAUUGGUCAAUGGGGGAACCCUGAACCAGCCAUGCCGCGUGCAGGAAGACGGCCCUACGGGUUGUAAACUGCUUUUGCACGGGAAUAACCCCCGGUAUGUAUACCGGGCUGAAUGUACCGUGAGAAUAAGGAUCGGCUAACUCCGUG